RNAcentral lists this ribosomal RNA (429 nucleotides) under Chloroflexota bacterium. Its description in RNAcentral is "Chloroflexi bacterium partial 16S ribosomal RNA". It matches the Rfam family "Bacterial small subunit ribosomal RNA", at positions 355 to 776 of the family's 1533-position model. Lineage: Bacteria; Bacillati; Chloroflexota. The record is from RNAcentral.
UGGGGAAUAUUGCACAAUGGGCGCAAGCCUGAUGCAGCCAUGCCGCGUGUAUGAAGAAGGCCUUCGGGUUGUAAAGUACUUUCAGUCGGGAGGAAGGUGGUAAGGUUAAUAACCUUGGCAAUUGACGUUACCGACAGAAGAAGCACCGGCUAACUCCGUGCCAGCAGCCGCGGUAAUACGGAGGGUGCAAGCGUUAAUCGGAAUUACUGGGCGUAAAGCGCACGCAGGCGGUCUGUCAAGUCAGAUGUGAAAUCCUCGGGCUCAACCUGGGAACUGCAUCUGAUACUGGCAAGCUUGAGUCUCGUAGAGGGGGGUAGAAUUCCAGGUGUAGCGGUGAAAUGCGUAGAGAUCUGGAGGAAUACCGGUGGCGAAGGCGGCCCCCUGGACGAAGACUGACGCUCAGGUGCGAAAGCGUGGGGAGCAAACAGG